Molecule: ribosomal RNA, 245 nt
Filed under: uncultured Nocardioides sp.
Lineage: Bacteria; Bacillati; Actinomycetota; Actinomycetes; Propionibacteriales; Nocardioidaceae
Description: partial 16S ribosomal RNA
Rfam family: Bacterial small subunit ribosomal RNA
Source: RNAcentral
UACGUAGGGUCCGAGCGUUGUCCGGAAUUAUUGGGCGUAAAGGGCUCGUAGGCGGUUUGUUGCGUCGGGAGUGAAAACUUCGAGCUUAACUCGGAGCUUGCUUUCGAUACGGGCAGACUUGAGGCAUUCAGGGGAGAACGGAAUUUCUGGUGUAGCGGUGAAAUGCGCAGAUAUCAGAAGGAACACCGGUGGCGAAGGCGGUUCUCUGGGAAUGUUCUGACGCUGAGGAGCGAAAGUGUGGGGAG